GAUGAACGCUGGCGGCGUGCUUAACACAUGCAAGUCGAACGGAAAGGCCCAAGCUUGCUUGGGUACUCGAGUGGCGAACGGGUGAGUAACACGUGGGUGAUCUGCCCUGCACUUCGGGAUAAGCCUGGGAAACUGGGUCUAAUACCGGAUAGGACCACUUCUUGGAUGUUGUGGUGGAGAGUUUUUGGGGUUUGGGAUGGGCUCGCGGCUUAUCUGCUUGUGGGGGGGGUGUUGGCUUACAAAGGCGUCGUGGGGGAGCCGGCCCGAGAGGGGGACCGGCACAUUGGGGAUGAGGUACGGCCCAGAAUCCUACGGGGGGCAGGAGUGGGGAAAAAUGGACAAUGGGGGGGAGGCUGAAGCAGGGACGGCGGGUGGGGGAAGACGGGCUUCGGGUUGUAAAACCCUUUCGCUAGGGACGAAGCGGUUUGUGACGGUACCUGGAGAAGAAGCACCGGCUAACUACGUG
RNAcentral lists this ribosomal RNA (466 nucleotides) under uncultured bacterium. Its description in RNAcentral is "partial 16S ribosomal RNA". It matches the Rfam family "Bacterial small subunit ribosomal RNA", at positions 28 to 507 of the family's 1533-position model. The record is from RNAcentral.